RNAcentral lists this ribosomal RNA (301 nucleotides) under uncultured bacterium. RNAcentral describes it as "partial 16S ribosomal RNA". It matches the Rfam family "Bacterial small subunit ribosomal RNA", at positions 509 to 809 of the family's 1533-position model. The record is from RNAcentral.
CAGCCGCCGCGGGAAUACGUAGGGUGCGAGCGUUAAUCGGAAUUACUGGGCGUAAAGCGUGCGCAGGCGGUUCGUUAAGACAGAUGUGAAAUCCCCGGGCUUAACCUGGGAACUGCAUUUGUGACUGGCGAGCUAGAGUAUGGCAGAGGGGGGUAGAAUUCCACGUGUAGCAGUGAAAUGCGUAGAGAUGUGGAGGAAUACCGAUGGCGAAGGCAGCCCCCUGGGCCAAUACUGACGCUCAUGCACGAAAGCGUGGGGAGCAAACAGGAUUAGAUACCCCGGUAGUCCCUGUCUUUUAUAA